Molecule: long non-coding RNA, 2056 nt
Organism: Manis javanica (Malayan pangolin)
Lineage: Eukaryota; Metazoa; Chordata; Mammalia; Pholidota; Manidae
Source: RefSeq, a predicted model, not a curated record
UAGUCUGCACGUUUGCAUGGGGCAGGCGGCGACUGUCAUUUCCGCCACAGCUGGGCGCGGGCAGAGACUAGAGAUCCGUACGCAGCCGGGGUAUUACAGAUCACCCGAGAUGCGGAACAACGUUAGCUCCCGCACACAGCCCUCUGCAGUAGUACUGGCGCCCGGGUGAGUUCGCACUACUGCUCCAGCGGCUGGCGUGCCAGAGUCGGGCGGCCGGAUCUCCCCUCCACGCCUCGCGGCGGGCCCAGAAAGCACUCUCGGCGCCGGGGAGAGGACGGUGCUGGCUGGAAGAUCUCAGUCCGCAGCUUAUGCCUAAGACCUGCAGGCCAACAAGUCUCCGCUGUGAGCCUGAACAGAUCGCUGCGUGAUACUUAAAGCUGUGGCAUCCACGCUCCACCCGAGCCCAGAACUUUGGCAGAAAUCCGAGAAACUCAGGCGAGCUGCAAGCUCAGACUGGUCCUCAUGCGCAACUCGGGCCUUUAUUCACUUGGCCAAGUCUUGUAUUUCAAGAUUCGUCAAUUUCUGAUCAAGAAUGUGGUACACUUCUGUCUGUUGCUGUAAUAAUGCAUGCUUAUCUUGGUCAGAGCACAUUGUCAUGCUGUACUUAAAUUAUCUGCUUAUACAUAUAGAUAUGAGUCUUUCUCCCACACACUUCAUUCCAAGAUUCUCUAUACUGUAACAUAUAUCCUGAGCAGAGUACACCGUAAUUUAUUUCUCAUCGCUCUUCAUUGGGUAGUUGCAAUGUGCCAGGCACUAAUGCUAAGGGCUUGAGAUAGAGGAAUAAGGAAAAUCAAUUACAGCCUCUGCCCUCCUGAAGCUACCUUAAGAGAGAAGGAAGCAAUCAAGUAACACAAACUUACAAUGAUAAACCUUGCUAAAAGGAAGUACAGGAAACUUACACAUUCAUAGGCUCCUUGAAUGCAGACAGAAGGAGCCAAUGUAAUUGUAGCUGCAUGGCAUAAAUUUAGGAAAAAAUAUUGGUCAACAAUCAAAGAGGAAAAAAGCACCUACAUGCGCUGGGGAUGUAGCUCAGUGGUAGAGUGCAUGCUUUGCAGGUAUGAAGCCCCAGGUCCGGCCCCAGUAUCUCCAGGUUAGCUAAAUUUUGGACUAGGAAUGCCAACUUAUCGGGAGCCGGUCCAAACUGCCAGCCUGAUGACACAGUCCGGGCAGUUGGAUGGAAGGGACUGCACAGCUGUGUUCCCAGAGGAGCAACACCGAUAUCUCUCCUGCUCAAAAUGCCCCUCCUAAUAAAUAUGCUUAUUGGUUUCAAUUCAAGCUACCCCUUCAGGGAAGAGGCCAUAUCCAAUUGUCCCUGAAAAUUUUUGAGUACUGGCCCUAAAGGAAAUUGGAAAAAACCACUACUGCCCUUGUGACUACCGCUGGUGAUGGGAAAGUGAGACCCCAUGAGAAUUGGACCCAAGCUUAUGGGAAAAAAAGAUAAGGAAAAUUUACAUGGGUCGAGGUUCCUUCCCCCGCCUCUACGUGCAUUCAGUGACUAAUGAUGACAGGUGGGUACAGAGAACAAAUGAUAUUCUUUGGCUAGCCCACCAAAGAACAACCUGGCAAACUAUAAAACAAAUAAGAACAGGGCAUUACCUAACUCCAGAUCAGAAAAAUCUCCAUUAUAAGUCUUACUGAAAAUGGGUCUGAGGCACAGUCCAUAAAAUUUCUCCCUAUCUGCGAAAAAGUCAUCAUGUCCUUUUAGAGAAAGCCUCUUUCUUUCCUACCAGAGAUGAAGAAUGGGUGUAUAGCUAUGAAAGAAUGAGGGCCCUACAUAAAAACAAUAGAAUACUGAACAUUAGAUAGUCAUCUGUAAAGAAACCAAGAGUCUGGCACCUACCUAACCUUUGUAAGAUUUUCUGGCCAUAAUAACUAAGAACAAAGCUUACUUAGAAACAGUUAACUGCUAAGACCUGUCAAAUGAUUUAAUCUCAUUCUCCAAACUCGUAACAGUGCCAUGUAUCAAUUGAAUGAUUAAUAACUGUACUGUACUUUAUGUAAUCAAAGAGUAUAUAAUCAAGCUGCUACUUUUCAUUAAAGGCCAGGCUCAGCUUUU